ACGCUCGACACCUACGGGAGGCAGCAGUGAGGAAUAUUGGUCAAUGGACGCAAGUCUGAACCAGCCAUGCCGCGUGCAGGAUGACGGCUCUAUGAGUUGUAAACUGCUUUUGUACGAGGGUAAACGCAGAUACGUGUAUCUGUCUGAAAGUNUCGUACGAAUAAGGAUCGGCUAACUCCGUGUCAGCAGCCGCGGUAAUCUGAGCGGGCUGGCAAGGC
This 218-nucleotide ribosomal RNA is filed under the name uncultured bacterium. RNAcentral's name for it is "partial 16S ribosomal RNA". It matches the Rfam family "Bacterial small subunit ribosomal RNA", at positions 328 to 539 of the family's 1533-position model. The record is from RNAcentral.